GCAGUCGAACGCUUCUUUUUCACCGGAGCUUGCUCCACCGGAAAAAGAAGAGUGGCGAACGGGUGAGUAACACGUGGGUAACCUGCCCAUCAGAAGGGGAUAACACUUGGAAACAGGUGCUAAUACCGUAUAACAAUCAAAACCGCAUGGUUUUGAUUUGAAAGGCGCUUUCGGGUGUCGCUGAUGGAUGGACCCGCGGUGCAUUAGCUAGUUGGUGAGGUAACGGCUCACCAAGGCCACGAUGCAUAGCCGACCUGAGAGGGUGAUCGGCCACAUUGGGACUGAGACACGGCCCAAACUCCUACGGGAGGCAGCAGUAGGGAAUCUUCGGCAAUGGACGAAAGUCUGACCGAGCAACGCCGCGUGAGUGAAGAAGGUUUUCGGAUCGUAAAACUCUGUUGUUAGAGAAGAACAAGGAUGAGAGUAACUGUUCAUCCCUUGACGGUAUCUAACCAGAAAGCCACGGCUAACUACGUGCCAGCAGCCGCGGUAAUACGUAGGUGGCAAGCGUUGUCCGGAUUUAUUGGGCGUAAAGCGAGCGCAGGCGGUUUCUUAAGUCUGAUGUGAAAGCCCCCGGCUCAACCGGGGAGGGUCAUUGGAAACUGGGAGACUUGAGUGCAGAAGAGGAGAGUGGAAUUCCAUGUGUAGCGGUGAAAUGCGUAGAUAUAUGGAGGAACACCAGUGGCGAAGGCGGCUCUCUGGUCUGUAACUGACGCUGAGGCUCGAAAGCGUGGGGAGCAAACAGGAUUAGAUACCCUGGUAGUCCACGCCGUAAACGAUGAGUGCUAAGUGUUGGAGGGUUUCCGCCCUUCAGUGCUGCAGCUAACGCAUUAAGCACUCCGCCUGGGGAGUACGACCGCAAGGUUGAAACUCAAAGGAAUUGACGGGGGCCCGCACAAGCGGUGGAGCAUGUGGUUUAAUUCGAAGCAACGCGAAGAACCUUACCAGGUCUUGACAUCCUUUGACCACUCUAGAGAUAGAGCUUCCCCUUCGGGGGCAAAGUGACAGGUGGUGCAUGGUUGUCGUCAGCUCGUGUCGUGAGAUGUUGGGUUAAGUCCCGCAACGAGCGCAACCCUUAUUGUUAGUUGCCAUCAUUCAGUUG
RNAcentral lists this ribosomal RNA (1102 nucleotides) under Enterococcus faecium. Its description in RNAcentral is "bacterial SSU rRNA". It matches the Rfam family "Bacterial small subunit ribosomal RNA", at positions 57 to 1133 of the family's 1533-position model. Lineage: Bacteria; Bacillati; Bacillota; Bacilli; Lactobacillales; Enterococcaceae. The record is from RNAcentral.